GCGCCCGUAGCUCAGUGGAUAGAGCAUCUGGCUUCGAACCAGAGGGUCGGGAGUUCGAAUCUCUCCGGGCGUGCCA
Molecule: transfer RNA, 76 nt
Filed under: Chloroflexota bacterium
Lineage: Bacteria; Bacillati; Chloroflexota
Description: tRNA-Arg
Rfam family: tRNA
About the family: Transfer RNA (tRNA) molecules are approximately 80 nucleotides in length. Their secondary structure includes four short double-helical elements and three loops (D, anti-codon, and T loops).
Source: RNAcentral